Molecule: non-coding RNA, 230 nt
Organism: Pelobates cultripes (western spadefoot toad)
Lineage: Eukaryota; Metazoa; Chordata; Amphibia; Anura; Pelobatidae
Source: the annotation of a GenBank genome assembly
GCAUAAUGUUUCCACCUCCUUGUUUGACGGUGGGGAUGGUGUUCUUGGGGUCAUAGGCAGCAUUCCUCCUGCUACAAACAUGUUGAGUUGAUGCCAAAGAGCUCGAUUUUGGUCUCAUCUGACCACAACACUUUCACCUAGUACUCCUCUGAAUCAUUCAAAUGUUCACUGGCAAACCUUAGACAGACCUGUACUUUCUUGAGCAGGGGGACCUUCCGGGUGCUGCAGGA